Molecule: ribosomal RNA, 427 nt
Filed under: uncultured bacterium
Lineage: Bacteria
Description: partial 16S ribosomal RNA
Rfam family: Bacterial small subunit ribosomal RNA
Source: RNAcentral
UGGGGAAUAUUGGACAAUGGGCGAAAGCCUGAUCCAGCCAUGCCGCGUGUGUGAAGAAGGUCUUCGGAUUGUAAAGCACUUUAAGUUGGGAGGAAGGGCAUUAACCUAAUACGUUAGUGUUUUGACGUUACCGACAGAAUAAGCACCGGCUAACUCUGUGCCAGCAGCCGCGGUAAUACAGAGGGUGCAAGCGUUAAUCGGAAUUACUGGGCGUAAAGCGCGCGUAGGUGGUUUGUUAAGUUGGAUGUGAAGUCCCCGGGCUCAACCUGGGAACUGCAUUCAAAACUGACUGACUAGAGUAUGGUAGAGGGUGGUGGAAUUUCCUGUGUAGCGGUGAAAUGCGUAGAUAUAGGAAGGAACACCAGUGGCGAAGGCGACCACCUGGACUAAUACUUACACUGGGGUGCGAAAGCGUGGGGAGCAAACA